AUACGGAGGGUGCAAACGUUAAUCGGAAUUACUGGGCGUAAAGCGCUCGUAGGCGGCUUGUUAAGUCGGAUGUGAAAUCCCCGGGCUCAACCUGGGAACUGCAUUCGAUACUGGCAAGCUAGAGUAUAGUAGAGGCAAGUGGAAUUCCGGGUGUAGCGGUGAAAUGCGUAGAUAUCCGGAGGAACAUCAGUGGCGAAGGCGACUUGCUGGACUAAUACUGACGCUGAGGAGCGAAAGCGUGGGGAGCAAACGGGAUUAGAAACCCCAGUAGUCC
This 274-nucleotide ribosomal RNA is filed under the name uncultured bacterium. RNAcentral describes it as "partial 16S ribosomal RNA". It matches the Rfam family "Bacterial small subunit ribosomal RNA", at positions 523 to 796 of the family's 1533-position model. The record is from RNAcentral.